RNAcentral lists this ribosomal RNA (884 nucleotides) under Helicodochium aquaticum. RNAcentral describes it as "LSU rRNA". It matches the Rfam family "Eukaryotic large subunit ribosomal RNA", at positions 75 to 941 of the family's 3401-position model. Lineage: Eukaryota; Fungi; Ascomycota; Dothideomycetes; Tubeufiales; Tubeufiaceae. The record is from RNAcentral.
UUGCCUCAGUAACGGCGAGUGAAGCGGCAACAGCUCAAAUUUGAAAUCUGGCUCCUUUCAGGUGUCCGAGUUGUAAUUUGUAGAGGAUGCUUCGGCUUACGCCCCGGUCUAAGUUCCUUGGAACAGGACGUCACAGAGGGUGAGAAUCCCGUUUGUGGCCGGCGGCUUCUGCCAUGUGAAGCUCCUUCGACGAGUCGAGUUGUUUGAGAAUGCAGCUCUAAAUGGGAGGUAUAUUUCUUCUAAAGCUAAAUACCGGCCAGAGACCGAUAGCGCACAAGUAGAGUGAUCGAAAGAUGAAAAGCACUUUGGAAAGAGAGUUAAAAAGUACGUGAAAUUGUUGAAAGGGAAGCGCUUGCGACCAGACUUGCCCGCGGAUGCUCAGCCGGUCCUUCGGCCGGUGCACUCUUCCGCGGUCAGGCCAGCAUCAGUUCGGGCGGUCGGAUAAAGGCCUCGGGAAUGUGGCUCCUCUCGGGGAGUGUUAUAGCCCUUGGUGCAAUACGGCCCGCCUGGACUGAGGCCCGCGCUUCGGCUAGGAUGCUGGCGUAAUGGUCGUAAGCGGCCCGUCUUGAAACACGGACCAAGGAGUCUAACAUCUAUGCGAGUGUUUGGGUGUCAAACCCGUGCGCGAAAUGAAAGUGAACGGAGGUGGGAACCCUCGGGUGCACCAUCGACCGAUCCUGAUGUCUUCGGAUGGAUUUGAGUAAGAGCAUAGCUGUUGGGACCCGAAAGAUGGUGAACUAUGCCUGAAUAGGGUGAAGCCAGAGGAAACUCUGGUGGAGGCUCGCAGCGGUUCUGACGUGCAAAUCGAUCGUCAAAUUUGGGUAUAGGGGCGAAAGUAAGUUGACACUCACCGUCACAUUCAUGAGACAUAUGCUAACAGAUUU